GUGCUCACUUCAGCAGCACAUAUACUAGAAUUGGAACGAUGCAGAGAAGAUUAGCGUGCCCCUGCGCAAGGAUGACUCGCAAAUUCGUAGCGUUCCAUAUUUUU
This 104-nucleotide small nuclear RNA is filed under the name Tursiops truncatus (common bottlenose dolphin). Lineage: Eukaryota; Metazoa; Chordata; Mammalia; Artiodactyla; Delphinidae. The record is from RNAcentral.